GUUUUAAUAGUUUAAAAUAAAACUUUGGUCUUGUAAACCAAAAAUGAGAAAAUUCUCUUAAAACU
Molecule: transfer RNA, 65 nt
Filed under: Epeorus sp. XL-2019
Lineage: Eukaryota; Metazoa; Arthropoda; Insecta; Ephemeroptera; Heptageniidae
Description: tRNA-Thr
Rfam family: tRNA
About the family: Transfer RNA (tRNA) molecules are approximately 80 nucleotides in length. Their secondary structure includes four short double-helical elements and three loops (D, anti-codon, and T loops).
Source: RNAcentral